UGUUCCCGGGCCUUGUACACACCGCCCGUCACACCACGAAAGUUGGCAAUACCCGAAGCCGGUGGCCUAACCCGCAAGGGGGGGAGCCGUCGAAGGUAGGGUCGAUGAUUGGGGUG
Molecule: ribosomal RNA, 116 nt
Filed under: uncultured bacterium
Lineage: Bacteria
Description: partial 16S ribosomal RNA
Rfam family: Bacterial small subunit ribosomal RNA
Source: RNAcentral